GCAGUCGAGCGCGAAUGGGGAAACCCUAGUAGAGCGGCGCACGGGUGCGUAACACGUGGAUAAUCUGCCUGGAUGCCUGGGAUAACCAGUCGAAAGAUUGGCUAAUACCGGAUAAGCCCACGGUUUCUUCGGAGACUGAGGGAAAAGGUGGCCUCUGUAUACAAGCUAUCACAACCAGAUGAGUCCGCGGCCCAUCAGCUAGUUGGCGGGGUAAUGGCCCACCAAGGCAACGACGGGUAGCUGGUCUGAGAGGACGAUCAGCCACACUGGAACUGAGACACGGUCCAGACUCCUACGGGAGGCAGCAGUGGGGAAUUUUGCGCAAUGGGCGAAAGCCUGACGCAGCAACGCCGCGUGUGUGAUGAAGGUCUUCGGAUUGUAAAGCACUUUCGACCGGGACGAAAACCCGUAGCCCAACACGCUACGGCUUGACGGUACCGGGAGAAGAAGCACCGGCUAACUCUGUGCCAGCAGCCGCGGUAAUACAGAGGGUGCAAGCGUUGUUCGGAAUUAUUGGGCGUAAAGCGCGUGUAGGCGGCGUGACAAGUCGGGUGUGAAAGCCCUCAGCUCAACUGAGGAAGUGCGCCCGAAACUGUCGUGCUUGAGUGCCGGAGAGGGUGGCGGAAUUCCCCAAGUAGAGGUGAAAUUCGUAGAUAUGGGGAGGAACACCGGUGGCGAAGGC
Molecule: ribosomal RNA, 682 nt
Filed under: Myxococcus sp.
Lineage: Bacteria; Pseudomonadati; Myxococcota; Myxococcia; Myxococcales; Myxococcaceae
Description: bacterial SSU rRNA
Rfam family: Bacterial small subunit ribosomal RNA
Source: RNAcentral